GGAGUUAACUCUUGGCGCGACGUUAAGCAUUUGAAUUCCCGCAAAACGUCACUUUUUGUGGGACGUAAUGCGUGUCAUUUUCCGUAAUAAGAAACGUAAUGUGGAAUUUCCAUGCUCCAAUUUCUGUUUCUCCCGCAUGCUAAUUUCUACGCCAUUAAUAUUAGUCAGUGCAUUUGAUUCUACCAGGAUAACAGUCUAAUAACAUAAUAAGAAAUAAAACACAUUACUGUUUCUUUGAGAUCUUCAACAAAUAUCGUAUAGUGAGCAAUCUCAAGACGACUGACCCUUUUGGUGUUACUAAUAUCAUGCAUGUCAAUUAAAAUUUUAUUAUCAUUCAUCAUCCACGAUUUGGUCCGGAUCCGAUUUUUUAUUACAGCAC
This 379-nucleotide long non-coding RNA is filed under the name Mytilus galloprovincialis (Mediterranean mussel). Lineage: Eukaryota; Metazoa; Mollusca; Bivalvia; Mytilida; Mytilidae. The record is from RNAcentral.